This 468-nucleotide ribosomal RNA is filed under the name uncultured bacterium. RNAcentral describes it as "partial 16S ribosomal RNA". It matches the Rfam family "Bacterial small subunit ribosomal RNA", at positions 28 to 507 of the family's 1533-position model. The record is from RNAcentral.
GACGAACGCUGGCGGCGUGCUUAACACAUGCAAGUCGAACGGAAAGGCCCUGCUCUUGUUGGUUGCUCGAUUGGCGAGCGGGUGUGUAACACGUGUGUAUCCUGCCCUUGUCUUUGUGGUAACUUUAGGAAACUCGGGCUAAUACCCGAUAUGAUCUCCUGCUGCAUGUUGGGGGUUGGUAAGUUUCGGCGGUUGGGGAUGGACUCGCGGCUUAUCAGCUUGUUGGUGUGGUAGUGGCUUACCAAGGCUUUGACGGGUAGCAGGCCUGAGAGGGUGAACGGCCACAUGGGGACUGAGAGACGGACCAGAAUCCUACGGGAGGCAGCAGGGGGGAAUAUUGCAGAAUGGGCGGAAGCCUGAUGCAGAAACGCCGCGUGCGGGAUGACGGCCUUCGGGUUGUAAACCGAUUUCGCCUGUGACGAAGCGUGAGUGACGGUAAUGGGUAAAGAAGCACCGGCUAACUACGUG